GCACAAAGUGACACCAUCAACGUCAACAACACUCGUGGACCCAUGGACACAUGUUGAGGUGGUCACAUAACGAACAGCCAUCUGUCAGGCCAUGUGCCACAACCGAACAAGUAUUGUCUCCAGUCCCAAAUGCUUCAUUGCCAUCCCAGUCCCAGAGGACCCCAGUAGUCAUGUCAAAUGCCUAAUGGCCAAAUGCAGUAUGAGGGGUGGUGGCCAACUUUCAAAGCCUGUUAUGUAAUUUAAG
Long non-coding RNA from Labeo rohita (rohu), 244 nucleotides. RefSeq lists it as uncharacterized. The record is from RefSeq and is a predicted model, not a curated record. NCBI's taxonomy places the organism in Eukaryota, Metazoa, Chordata, Actinopteri, Cypriniformes, Cyprinidae. The transcript is spliced from 4 exons.